GUACAAUAAGAACUUCAAGACACUGAAGAAAGAAAUUGAAGAAGACCUCAGAAGAUGGAAAGAUCUCCCAUGCUCAUGGAUUGGCAGGAUUAAUAUAGUAAAAAUGGCCAUUUUACCAAAAGCAAUCUACAGAUUCAAUGCAAUCCCCAUCAAAAUACCAAUCCAAUUCUUCAAAGAGUUAGACAGAACAAUUUGCAAAUUCAUCUGGAAUGACAAAAAACCCAGGAUAGCUAAAACUAUCCUCAACAAUAAAAGGACUUCAGGGGGAAUCACUAUCCC
This 279-nucleotide long non-coding RNA is filed under the name Rattus norvegicus (Norway rat). RNAcentral's name for it is "long non-coding RNA NONRATT006731". Lineage: Eukaryota; Metazoa; Chordata; Mammalia; Rodentia; Muridae. The record is from RNAcentral.